This 73-nucleotide transfer RNA is filed under the name Camelus bactrianus (Bactrian camel). It matches the Rfam family "tRNA". Rfam says of the family: Transfer RNA (tRNA) molecules are approximately 80 nucleotides in length. Their secondary structure includes four short double-helical elements and three loops (D, anti-codon, and T loops). Further hydrogen bonds mediate the characteristic L-shaped molecular structure. tRNAs have two regions of fundamental functional importance: the anti-codon, which is responsible for specific mRNA codon recognition, and the 3' end, to which the tRNAs corresponding amino acid is attached (by aminoacyl-tRNA synthetases). tRNAs cope with the degeneracy of the genetic code in two manners: having more than one tRNA (with a specific anti-codon) for a particular amino acid; and 'wobble' base-pairing, i.e. permitting non-standard base-pairing at the 3rd anti-codon position. Lineage: Eukaryota; Metazoa; Chordata; Mammalia; Artiodactyla; Camelidae. RNAcentral also lists the same sequence under 2 other names. The record is from Rfam by way of RNAcentral.
GGGCAUAUAGUUCACUGGUAAGAGUAUGUGCUUAGCAUGCAUGAGGUCCUUGGUUCAAUCCCCAGUACCUCCA